Molecule: long non-coding RNA, 186 nt
Organism: Poecilia latipinna (sailfin molly)
Lineage: Eukaryota; Metazoa; Chordata; Actinopteri; Cyprinodontiformes; Poeciliidae
Exons: 3
Source: RefSeq, a predicted model, not a curated record
AUAGGGCCCCAGGCAGAAUCUGAUGUGGGAGCUGACUUGCAGAUCUAAUGAUGAUAAUUUUACACAACUCAAGUGAAAGCUUUUCUUCAGCCACUCGACGCCAAGAAACAAGCUUGAGAUCAUCACAAUCCUUUGUUAAACAGAGAUUUUCAUGGUUUCCAGAUUGCAAACAGGAACAGAACAUCC